CCUACGGGUGGCAGCAGUGAGGAAUAUUGGUCAAUGGGCGCGAGCCUGAACCAGCCAAGUAGCGUGAAGGAUGACUGCCCUACGGGUUGUAAACUUCUUUUGCCGGGGAGCAACGGGCGUCACGUGUGGCGCCACUGAGAGUACCCGGAGAAAAAGCAUCGGCUAACUCCGUGCCAGCAGCCGCGGUAAUACGGAGGAUGCGAGCGUUAUCCGGAUUUAUUGGGUUUAAAGGGUGCGUAGGCGGAUCGUUAAGUCAGUGGUCAAAUUGAGGGGCUCAACCCCUUCCCGCCAUUGAAACUGGCGUUCUUGAGUGGAAGAGAAGUAUGCGGAAUGCGUGGUGUAGCGGUGAAAUGCAUAGAUAUCACGCAGAACCCCGAUUGCGAAGGCAGCAUGCCGGCUUCCGACUGACGCUGAAGCACGAAAGCGUGGGGAUCGAACAGGAUUAGAUACCCUUGUAGUC
Molecule: ribosomal RNA, 460 nt
Filed under: uncultured bacterium
Lineage: Bacteria
Description: partial 16S ribosomal RNA
Rfam family: Bacterial small subunit ribosomal RNA
Source: RNAcentral